This 502-nucleotide ribosomal RNA is filed under the name uncultured bacterium. RNAcentral's name for it is "partial 16S ribosomal RNA". It matches the Rfam family "Bacterial small subunit ribosomal RNA", at positions 28 to 507 of the family's 1533-position model. The record is from RNAcentral.
GAUUAACGCUGGCGGCGUGCCUAACACAUGCAAGUCGAGCGGCAGCGAGUUUUACACUGAAUUCUGGAAGCUUCUAGUUGAAAGAGAAGAUUUAUUCAAGAAUUUUGUGUAAAAUGUCGGCGAGCGGCGGACGGCUGAGUAACGCGUGGGAACGUACCCCAAAGUGAGGGAUAACGCAUCGAAAGGUGUGCUAAUACCGCAUAUGGUCUUCGGAUUAAAGCCUUCGGGCGCUUUGGGAACGGCCUGCGUAGGAUUAGAUAGUUGGUGGGGUAAUGGCCUACCAAGUCGACGAUCUUUAACUGGUUUGAGAGGAUGAUCAGUCAGACUGGAACUGAGACACGGUCCAGACUCCUACGGGAGGCAGCAGUGAGGAAUCUUCCACAAUGGGCGAAAGCCUGAUGGAGCAACGCCGCGUGCAGGAUGAAGGCCUUCGGGUUGUAAACUGCUUUUAUAAGUGAGGAUUAUGACAGUAACUUAUGAAUAAGGAUCGGCUAACUACGUG